RNAcentral lists this ribosomal RNA (275 nucleotides) under uncultured bacterium. RNAcentral describes it as "partial 16S ribosomal RNA". It matches the Rfam family "Bacterial small subunit ribosomal RNA", at positions 80 to 353 of the family's 1533-position model. The record is from RNAcentral.
UAAGUUUGAUGGCGACCGGCGCACGGGUGAGUAACACGUAUCCAACCUGCCGAUGACUCGGGGAUAGCCUUUCGAAAGAAAGAUUAAUACCCGAUGGCAUAGUUCUUCCGCAUGGUGGAACUAUUAAAGAAUUUCGGUCAUCGAUGGGGAUGCGUUCCAUUAGGGUUGUUGGCGGGGUAACGGCCCACCAAGCCUUCGAUGGAUAGGGGUUCUGAGAGGAAGGUCCCCCACAUUGGAACUGAGACACGGUCCAAACUCCUACGGGAGGCAGCAUG